AUUGAACGCUGGCGGCAGGCCUAACACAUGCAAGUCGAGCGGAUGAAGGGAGCUUGCUCCUGGAUUCAGCGGCGGACGGGUGAGUAAUGCCUAGGAAUCUGCCUGGUAGUGGGGGAUAACGUCCGGAAACGGGCGCUAAUACCGCAUACGUCCUGAGGGAGAAAGUGGGGGAUCUUCGGACCUCACGCUAUCAGAUGAGCCUAGGUCGGAUUAGCUAGUUGGUGGGGUAAAGGCCUACCAAGGCGACGAUCCGUAACUGGUCUGAGAGGAUGAUCCGUCACACUGGAACUGAGACACGGUCCAGACUCCUACGGGAGGCCGCAGUGGGGAAUAUUGGACGAUGGGCGAAAGCCUGAUCCAGCCAUGCCGCGUGUGUGAAGAAGGUCUUCGGAUUGUAAAGCACUUUAAGUUGGGGGGAAGGGCAGUAAGUUAAUACCUUGCUGUUUUGACGUUACCAACAGAAUAAGCACCGGCUAACUUCGUG
Molecule: ribosomal RNA, 484 nt
Filed under: uncultured bacterium
Lineage: Bacteria
Description: partial 16S ribosomal RNA
Rfam family: Bacterial small subunit ribosomal RNA
Source: RNAcentral